UUUUUUUUUUUUACUAGUCUUACACUGGACAAGACAACUAUAUGUUGAAUGUGAAAUAAUGGAUGUUAUAUACUCUUAGUAAAGGUGCAAAUAUGCUUAUUUGUUCCUGCACUGUUCCCAUUAAUUCAUUAAUUGUUUGUUCGAGGCGUAUAGCUAUUACUGAAUUCCCUGGCAAUUGGUGAAGAUUUGUUUUCUUAUACCUUUUGUUUUUUGGUCUGUUUGUAAAUGCAGGAGCUACAGGAUAGGGUGGCAGAAGCCAAAGAUUCAAAUGAGGAGUUGAUGAGAGUAGGGAGAGAAAUAGUUGAUUUUCAUGGAGAGAUGGUUUUGUUAGAGAACUACAGUGCACUCAACUAUACAGGUAGUCAUCUUUAUUUGUUGAAACAAUUGACGUUAUUGUUUAAGUUUGAAUGAGGCAUACAUCUUUGAUUGAUAGGAGAACAUAUUGCUUUCUUCUGUGGUCUAUAUGAUUUGUCUUGUUUUUCACCUGUCACAUAAAUACAAUGGUUCCGAUUGAGGGAUCAACUCGUCAAUCUUCUCUAUGUUCUUUUUUUUCUCUCUCCAUGUAUGAAAGUCUGAUAUCUGUUUUUUCAUUUGCUUUCUUUUGGUGUGUCUGCGUUCUGUCAACAGGACUAUUGAAGAUUCUGAAGAAACAUGACAAGCGAACUGGUGUUCUCAUUCGGUUUCCCUUUGUCCAACGGGUCAUGCAACAGCCAUUCUUCAGUACUGAGGUACUCGAUAAGCUCGUGAAGGAGUGUGAGGGGAUGCUUGAUCACGUCUUCUCCAGGAAUGACCCAUCAGGUCCAUCUGAAGCAGCCAAAGCAGAAGAACAGAGCGACUCUGAGCCUGUGACUGAAACUAGAGAAAUUGUACGGAAAGCUCCUAUAGAACUUGCAGAAAUAAAGCAAUUGGAGAGCGUGUACGGGAAGCAAACUGAAACCGCAUUGCGUGUCUUGAAGGAUAUUCGGAGUGGAAGCUCAACUGUGAGUGCAUUUUCAUUGCCCCCUUUGCAAAUAAAUGUGGUGGAGGAGGAUUCAAAGAACAUACAUGUUUUACAACAAGAAGCCAAAUGAAAAUUUGGAUGAAAGAUUACUCUUGCUAUUGAGGAUUUUAAGCUGGUAGAUAGAUACGUAUUGUAUGCUUAGGAAAAAAACUAAAGGAUGGACCCUUUGUGAUUCAUCCCCUCUGCAUUUUUCCCUAGUCAUUGUAAAUCACCAUGACUGAGUUUGCUUUUCUGAAUGUCAAAUGUGAAAAUGGCCUCUCAAUAGAUGGAUGAUCAACUCCAAAUCCUUGUGUUUAAGGUUGAUGUUUUUUUUUCUUCUUCUGUAGGAAUUUCUUUUGGAUCAACUUCUAUAAGACUUUUUUAGUUUUGGUGGUAAGCAAGAAAAAAAAGAGGUGUGAAAACAGAAAACAGAAAAAACUUAAAACGACUCCGCUGGGGAUCGAACCCAGAAUCUCUGGUUUCGUAGACCAGCGCCUUAUCCAUUGGGCCACGGAGUCGUUAUUGGUAGUUGGCUGGUAAAUAAUUUACUUAUCAAAAUUGAAGUUUUACCAUUGGAAGUAGUUGAGACUUGAGAGGUUGAAACCUACAAAUCCUACAUAACGCACUCCUUGAUGACUAACCAUUCUACAUUCUACCAACCAUUAUAGAGACUUAUGGAAUGCAAGUUACAUGAGAAACCUAACAUCAAAUCAACUCUAGUACAUUACGUAAAUUCUGAUUCCUUUUGGUGACUAUAUAAACCCCCACAAACUAUGACCCUCCCUAUUCCAACAAAAAAUGUUUAUAGUUGAAGAAUCACCAGACUUUCUCCAAGUCUUUUCUGAUGGAACUGUGAAACGCUUUUCCCCCGGGAUAGUCACUGCCUCAUCAGAACCCUCCAAUGGAUACAAGUUCAAGGAUGUUGUCAUCGACUCGUCGAAACCAAUUACAGGGAGGAUCUUCAUUCCUUGUGAUCCAACAUCCUCUAGUAAGCUUCCAGUUAUGGUUUAUUUUCAUGGUGGAGGCUUCUGCAUUGGCUCAACCACUUGGAUUGGUUACCAUCAUUUCCUAGGAGACUUAUCUGUUGCAUCGCAAUCGAUUGUUCUCUCAAUUGACUACCGUUUGGCUCCAGAGAACCGGCUUCCAAUACCUUAUGAAGACUGUUAUGAAUCACUUGUUUGGCUUCGUCACCAGGCAAGCUGUGAUCCAUGGCUGAACAAGGCUGACCUCUCCCGGGUUUUCCUAUCCGGUGACAGUGCUGGAGGGAACAUAGCACACAAUGUUGCUGUGAAAACUAUGCACAAUUCACUCAUUCAUGUCAAGAUAAGAGGACUGUUGUUGAUACAUCCUUAUUUUGGGAGUGAAAGGAGAACUGAUAAAGAGAUGUCAACAGAUGAAGAGGCAGUUGGGAAUGUGGCAAGCAAUGACAUGUUCUGGAGACUCAGUAUACCUGAGGGCUCCAAUCGCGACUAUUUUGGAUGUAACUUUGACAAGACAGAACUGUCUCUAACGCAAUGGCGCAACGAUUUUCCUGCUGUGACAGUUUAUGUUGCUGAACUGGAUUUUUUGAAAGAAAGAGGUGUAAUGUAUGCAGAGUUUUUGCAGAGAAAAGGAGUUGAGGUGAAGCUAGUUGAGGCUGAGAACGAGUCCCAUGUAUUUCAUGUUUUCAAACCCGAUUGUGAGGCAACCCGUUUGCUUCAGAAAAACAUGAAUGAUUUCAUUUGGAACUAUUAGCUGCUAUUUCAGAUGACCAUUACUAGGAUAUGUAAUGAAACCAUAUGGAAAAUAAUGGAGAUAGGAAAGCCUUCUAGUUCUUUAUGAAUUUAGUAAAUCUUGUUCAUAUGUAUCAUGUAUGCAACACUGAAGAUGCCAAUCCAUAUAAUUAUCUGAAUUUCCAAAUAAAAAAUUUCGUCUCAUAGCAAGUACUGAUAGCCUACAAGAUCAUUGGCAUAUAUACUGCAAAUUAAGGAAUCAAUAUUAAGAAGACUAUAACACUACAUAUUUCAAUUAAUGUACAUAAGCAUACAAUUAGUCCAGCUAGAAGAGGCCUGCACCUGACGGUGACCAGCUCAUUCGGCUGUGGUAUCAGAAGUGCUCAUGAAACCUCCAAGAAAGCCGGCUCCGUUGCAAUUUCCACACAACAUUUCCUUUCUGCCACUACAAGGAAACAAGAACAAGCAAGAGUAAAUAGCUACCAACAGAUUUCCUCGAAUAUUUAGGUAAUGGCCGGUCUCUUGCAAGAUAUAUGACGUUAUCCAAGUAUAAAUUUGAAUCUCAAAUAAAAAAGAACCAGACAUUAUUAGUAGUUCAAACUCAGAGUUCAGCAACAUAUAUUACAUGAUUUGACAUGAGAAUACUUCCCUACAUACGAGCUAAUACAUGGUAGAUACUAUAUCUUAGUGAUGAUUACCCGCAAAGCCAACAUGAAUCCCCAGCUUUGAACCGUCCACCAAACAGGUCAUCGGAGUUUAUCCCACUCCCUUUGCAUUGAGAGCAGAGAACUGCACCUAAUUAAUACAAUUGGCAAACACAGAAUAAGAUUUUCUCCCUAUACAUUACAUUCUUGCUAUCUGUUGUAGUAACUAACUGUCAGCUCACCAUUUCCCUCACAAUCAGAACAAACCAUGCUGUUUCGCUUUGUGCUUUCAUCACUUUUUGCAGCCUAUGCGAUUCAAAACACCAAACAAAUUCCAUCUCAGUACACCUGAGCAAUAUCAUAAUGGCACAAUACUUGUCUAGUGUCUAUGUCUAUGCAUCAAAAUGAUAUCAUGAAUUCUAGUAUUUAGGUCAGUUUACCUUAGCUUUAACAUUGAAGCCUUUAGCAGCAGGGCAAUUUUGGACGAAGUAGUUUAUUGUAAUGAGCUUCUGAUUACUGAUAUGCUUGCCUAUACAAAAUAGGUAAAUAUCAUUGAGGCAGUGACAUAACAACUCAAUUCUAAUAAGGAACAUGCCAAAAAAUUAGAGAGACCUGGUUCUGGGGUGGCCUUGAAGGAACUUGAAGGAGCUGAGUAGAGAGCAUAUGCCAUUAUUGAAGACUGAAGAGUGAAGAAUGAGGGAGGAGCUAGCUGGCAACCUUGCACCACCAGUCUGACUCGAAACAUGUGGCUGGAGUCAGGCACCAGAAUACCAGAUUUUCUAUGAACUUAUUUGGGCCAGUGGGCUGAGUGUGGAUUUUUGAUUGGACACAAUUCUGAAGCUUGAGGCCCAAUAAUGAGGAGGGUUGAAACUGUGUCCCAAUGACCUGAAAAUGACAUUAGCCUCCUUGCUGAACUUUGAACAUUUGAUAGAAAAAUAUCAAUGACCAAAUAAUUGAACGGUAGCUCACUAACUCCCAAGUACCAAAUUAAUUUUUACCUUUUUUUUUGUUCUCUUUCAACCUUUUAGAUAAGUUUUUAUCAAUCUAGCUUGAAUGAUACUUAAUACUUCAUAGUAUAUGUUAUGUCAUUCAUAUAUUCUUAAUGCUAACUUGCUAACAAGCAAUGUAUUGGUUUUGGGUACAAAAGUCUCUUUUUAUGGUUGAUAUACAGAAGCCCAAUCUUACGACUUUAGAAAUAUUAGAAAAUGAAAGUCCUUACUAACAUACUAUCAUCAGAUAUGUAAUAAGGUAUAUCUUAUAGUUUGUUUUCUUAUCUAUGAUUCAAUAAAGUAUAACUGAAAAAUACGCUUUUCUAGUUCUCUAGGAAGAGCUAAACUAAACAUUUGAGCACAACAGGCUUAGAGAAAUUCAAAAACAAAUAAAUCGCUGAGGAAAAAAAGAGAAUAUUACCAGAUAUUUUCUUAAUAAAUAAAAUAAAUAAUAAGACACAGUGGUACUAUGGUAAUUAUCGUUAAACAGCGAGGUUAAUUACGGCAUCUGGUUGUCUAUAUAUGCGGCUCCCAAUCUUCGAACCCUAUCUAUCUCUCAAUUCGCUUCCCUUCCGUCGAGGUCUAAAUCCCGACCCCCUCUCUUUCUCUCUCUCUCAAAAACAAAAAAAAGUUUUCAAAUUCGAUUUUUUCAGCUAACAAUUUUCAAUUGCAGACUCUCUCUCUCUCCCAAACCCCCCUAAACCCUAACCCUAAUUCAUCCUACUCCACACUUCCGCACAGGUAAAUUCUUCUAUCAAACCCUAGCUCUUUCUCCGAUGUCGGAUUCGAAUUUCAAAACCCUAAUUUGCGCCUCAACGAUUCGCAACCCUAAUUGGAGGUUUCUUCAGCAGAGAUAUGGGCGAAACCAGGGAGGAUGUCUACGACGAGGAGCUCGUCGAUUACGAGGAGGACGACGAGAAGGCCCCUGACUCCGCGGCCAAAGUCAAUGGCGAAUCCGCCAAGAAGUAAGUUUCUGAUUCGAAGAUUCUUCCAGCUGUUUCUGGCUAGUUGAUUAUUCGAUCCAAUUGUAUGAGUGAUCUGUAGGUCUAAUUUGUUUGUUAUUGGCUUUGUGCAGGGGAUAUGUUGGAAUUCACAGCUCAGGAUUCAGAGAUUUCCUACUAAAGCCGGAGCUUCUACGUGCUAUCGUGGACUCGGGAUUUGAGCAUCCUUCUGAAGGUGUGCAUCGUUCAGUGAUUCCUCCAAUUUUGCCUUGUGUUAUUAGAGAUUUGAAGUUUAUAAAAGCAAAACUGUCAGUUAUGAAGUUCUUUGAGAUUCAAAGUUGCUAUUUGAACUAAAUUGUUGAAACUUUGUGGUGUUUUAAAUUCCCUUUGAGAAAGGGUUGUGGAUUUCAAUUUAUGGCGUUGUAAUUGUUGUGUUCAUAUGUGCGGUACAUGUGGUAGAGUAUUGAUUUUGUGUUAUCUUGAUGUCUCUUCCAUUGGGAUGAUGUUUCAUCCCUAUUUCUGCUUGCUUAAUUUAAUGUAUUUUUUUUCCAGGUAAUUUGUUCUACUACCAUAAUAUUGAAUUCAGAGUCUGGUAAAGACUUUCAUAAAAGAUUGGAGACGUUUUGUUUUACUUACCAAUGGUUCCUUGGAUCGUUCUACAUCAGUACAACACGAAUGCAUCCCACAAGCUAUUCUGGGAAUGGAUGUUAUCUGCCAAGCUAAAUCUGGGAUGGGGAAAACGGCUGUGUUUGUCCUAUCUACUUUGCAGCAGAUUGACCCUGUGGCCGGCCAAGUUUCUGCACUUAUUCUUUGCCAUACUAGGGAAUUAGCUUACCAGGUACUGUUCAGAUCCACAUUUUUUCAUUCUACAACUGAUUUAUGAUUGUUAUUUGAAAAUAAAUAAAUAAUUAAAUACGUUUGCUGAUUCCUUCUUACCCUUGAUUUUGAAACUUUCAUAUGUAUUUAAUACUCACUUAUGCUCAACAUCGUGCAGAUUUGCCAUGAGUUUGAGAGAUUCAGUACCUACUUGCCAGAUCUCAAGGUUGCUGUCUUCUAUGGUGGUGUCACUAUCAAAAAUCACAAGGACUUGCUGAAAAACGAGUGCCCCCACAUUGUUGUUGGGACUCCUGGAAGAAUACUAGCACUCGCAAGAGAUAAAGACCUCUCAUUAAAGAAUGUGAGGCAUUUUAUCCUCGACGAGUGUGACAAGAUGCUUGAGUCACUUGGUAUGGUUUUGUUUUACAGCAAAUAAUUGAUGUGUGAUAUGUAUAUAUCAUAUUUCUUUCACUUAAUAGUUCCGUAUUUUACUCAUUAUUUGCUUUUUACACAGACAUGAGGAGAGAUGUGCAAGAGAUAUUCAAGAUGACGCCCCAUGAUAAGCAAGUAAUGAUGUUCUCUGCAACACUCAGCAAAGACAUCCGACCGGUUUGCAAGAAAUUUAUGCAAGAUGUAAUGUCCCAUGGCCAGUACUACUUCAAUUUUGAAGUCUCUUUUUCCAUAAUCCCACUUUCUACAAGAGUUUUCUAAUUACAUAGUAUGCGGUGAUCCCAUGGUGCUUGCUGUUGGCAUUGCGUUUGCACAAUAUCCUUAUUCUGCCGUUGGAAUAUGCGGCUUGAUAAUGGUGUACAACUGGAGUGGAAAGAUAUAAGUAUGCGUUUGGGGGGGGGGGGGGGGGGGGGGUCUUUUAGGACAGUUGUCGGUGUCUUCUGUACUGCAUUAGUAUCUUCUUACUUCUUUCUCCGGUAUAGGAUUUUUUUAAUAGGUAUCACUAGUGGUUUUAGUAUGGGGUUGAGCUGUUUUUGGAUUGCUCCAGUUUUGUGUGUGAGGGUGUUGGAGAUAUUGUGCCUGGGUGUUGUGGGUGAUUUGGUAAUAGAUUAUAUUGAGCGUCAGUGGGUUGAUGGUGGUUGCUGAGUGGUUUAGAACAGUAUCUUGGAGGAGACAAAAAGAUGGACCAGCUUCAUCCUUCAUCCAUCCAAGAGAUGUGCAUCCGUCAUUCAUUUCGUUCUGGAUUCUAUUAGCUUGAGGAAGGCACCUAAUAUGAUUUACUGUGACAUUUGUUCCUUUCAGCCUAUGGAAAUAUAUGUUGAUGACGAAGCCAAGUUGACUCUCCAUGGUCUAGUACAGGUAAUUUUUUUUUAUAAGUUGACUGUUAGUUUCUUACACUUGAUCAGGAAUAUGAAUCUUACAUUCUUAGCAUUGUGUCCGAAAUGUCAGCACUACAUCAAGUUAACCGAGGCAGAGAAAAACCGCAAGCUGAAUGAUCUCCUCGAUGCACUGGACUUCAACCAGGUCGUCAUAUUCGUUAAAAGCGUGAGCAGAGCGGCAGAGUUGAACAAGUUACUCUCAGAGUGUAAUUUUCCCUCGAUAUGUAUCCAUUCUGGAAUGAACCAAGAAGAAAGGUAUGUAAAGUCCUAUAAUUUCCCAUAUCUUGAUAUUAAUGUAGGAUUAUUUGGCUGAAGUAUGCAGUCUCGUGUACAUGUUUUGAGUAACAUUUGCGGUGAAGUUUACAUCUGUUAUACCAUGCAUGGUGUUGUGUGUGUGUGUUUUGUCUUUCAUCUUUGUGAUUGUAUAUAAAUUGCUUCCUAGGUGAGUAUGUUAUUGAUUUAUUCUGUGCUGGUCCCCCAAUUAUGUUUCUUUUGGUUUUUGGGGGUUGCUCUUUAUCUAUAUUUCAAUAUCUCCUUGUGCUUGUUGCAAUAUCCAGCGUGAAUUUUCUUUGAACAUUAGGGUGUAAACCCCAAGUUGGAUACAUUAUGUCUCUCACUGUAUCCUAAUCGUAGUGUCUCCUUGUGCUUGUUGCAAUAUACAGAAUGAAAUGUCUUUGAACAUUAGGAUGUUAACCAUUGUUUGCCACAGUAUUCAGACAUUAACGCUAUUGCAUGCCUGUGCAGGUUGAAGCGCUACAAAGGAUUCAAGGAGGGUCAGAACAGGAUUCUUGUCGCCACUGAUUUGGUUGGUAGAGGAAUUGAUAUUGAACGUGUCAAUAUUGUUAUCAAUUAUGACAUGCCAGACUCUGCUGACACCUACUUGCACAGGGUAUGUCACGUUUGACAUUUGAUAUCUCACCGCGUUCCAUGUUAUGAAGGAUUUAUUUAUAUGAUGUUGCAUUUAGAUUGCUUCCAUAUUAUUGUGUAGCUGAAUGUAUCACUGGCCUUUAAGCUCACCCAAAUGCUUUCUUCAAACCAAAUAUUGACAGGUCGGCAGAGCUGGUAGGUUCGGCACCAAAGGGCUGGCGAUUACAUUUGUAUCAUCUGCUUCGGACUCUGAUGUCCUUAAUGAUGUAUGCACUAUUCUUUUUAUUACCAUUAUUUACAUUGCUGUUUAUCCAGUUGGUGAAUUUAAUUGUUACUUUUUACGACGACAGGUUCAGGAGAGGUUUGAGGUUGACAUAAAGGAGCUUCCUGAACAAAUUGACACUGCCACAUACAGUAUGUUCUUUUCUCCUCUUUUCUUCUGUGUUAUUGUGCGUUGUAUACAUUUAGUGAACUGGUUCAACAAAUGAGAUAGUGGUGACUUUUGGUACCUGUUCGUUUAUUGUUUUCUCCUUUUUGCAAAAAGAAAAAGCAAAGGAAUGUCAACACAUGGAAAUAUUGAUUCAAUCUAUUGUUAUCUUCACUGGUUCUGAACUUUUGCACCUCGAGUGACUGUAUGACUGUUCAGUUUGUGUAGAACGUUGGUAUUGAAUGGGAUUAUCUCUUUUACAAACUUAAAGUUUUUGCUGAAUUUGUUUUUAUUUUUAUAUCCUUUUUAUCUCGCAAAAUGUCUCUUAAUUUUUGGGCUAAUGUCACAACUACGGCUUAAAUGCUUUGUUUCAUCAAAACAACCAUGUUAUUUUUAGUAGUACGGGAUCCAUGUAAAUGGCUUAUGUUCAUCACGGCCAGCUCUACUGUUUUCAAAACUAGCUUAUUAUUGUUCCAUGUAGCAGUAAAUUGUUGUCUUAUGUUCAAUAACUGUCAACGCUACUCUGUUGUGGUUCAUAAUAGAAUGCUAAUAACUAUUGUUCUUGUUUGCAGUGCCAUCUUAAAUGGAGUCCCUGUCUCGUCAAAAUCGCUUAUAGCGUUCAGAAUGUGGAUGCGGCUGGAGCAGAUUCUGUUUCUUUGAUUUAGACUGUUUGAUCCUCCAGACAUUACCAUAUUGUGGCCUAGCUCCUACCCCUUAUUAUGUGUGGCUUUUGAGAUGUAGCUGUAUUGAAAUUUUUUCAGAAUUGAUUUGCAGUGUUAUGUAACAUUAACUAGUUGUGCUUAUGCACGGUUGCUGGAAAACAAAUGGAUUUUCUUUGGUCGAUAUGCUUCCUAUUUAUCAUCUAAAUGUUGGUAAUGAGAAAAUAUAACCCUCUGCUGCUUGCGACUCUGGUCACACGUGACACACUGACACAUACAUACAAUUGGAGAUGGGAGUUGUUUUAGGUGAAACCCUGCAAUUGCAGCAGCAUGCUCUCUACUACCAUUUGUCGGAUCGACUCGUGUAGGAUCCUCGUGUUUUGUCGAGGAAAACUUGUGCAGAUCGACUCGUGUAGAUCCUCAUUUUGCUUGUAAACAUUAAAUUUUGACGACUAUUGAAAUAUUUUGCCUGAUGCCAUGCCUUCUAGUCGGCAAAUAAUGACAUUUAAUAUUUAAAGAGAAAAGAAAAAGAAAGUCAAAAUGACUUGAUACUGCUUCUUCUUCUUCUUCUUCCAUAGUUGAAUGUUUCAGUCGGAUUGAUAUCAUUGGAACAGAAUCAGCCGAACCCAACUAGUCCAUGAUACUAUCCACCAAACCAACUGCGACAAGUGACGACUUCAGCUUUAGACACCUCACUUUGUGACUAGGUGACCUUCCUCCUACUACAUCAUCCAUUUCCUCGAUCCAAAACUAAACAGAGGAAAGACGGGCACUGUUUCGGGUAAUAAAGAUUGUUACUUUACUUACUUCAGAUGGAGAGAGAGUAGUUUUCAAUUCUGUCGAUUGUUUGAUUUCCGAGGAUAGGAGAUGAUGAUGAUGUUGUUGCCUUUGAGUUGCAUUCUAAGGUGGGACCAGUUCAUUUUUUAUGUUUUUUUGGAAUUUUUCUUUUCUUGAUUUGCAGAUGAUCCAGACAUUUAGUUUGAUUAUACUUUUGUGUAUACAGAAGUUUCUCAAAUUAGAAAGUUUUUCACUUCAAAUUCAAUCUUUAUUUUCACUUGCAAGUGAAGAUGUUUAUACUGAAUGGUCCAUCUAGCAAAUUGUAUAGUUCAGGAUUUGGUACUGCUAGUUUAAUACAGUGUAGUUCAAGUAUCAGAUGCCCAGCCCUUAAAAGUUAGUGUAGUCUUUAAUCUUCGUACAGGUUUUGUUCAUUGAUUUUAAGUCAUUUUGUUUUGGGGCUCUUGAAAAGUUUUCCUAAAGAUCUGGUGUCUCUAAAAAGGGCCCAAGUGUUGUGCUUCUGCAUGGCUCGACCUAAUCUAUCAAUGACUCUUGUUCAACAGGUUCACUUCUAUGUUGAGGAUAGAUGAAGUUUUAAUGUUUUCCUUGGACAAUGUGGAGUACGGUGAAUUCAUUUCCUGAUAUCUUCGUAGUCAGGAUUCUUGGGGAAGUUUACUACUAUGAAUGUAUUGAAAGAGAAUAUUCAUUACGUUUGUGGUUCCAGAAUUAUAUAUUAUGAUCGUAGUCCAAUGCUAGUUCACCAUAUGAUCUCUAUGCCUUACCUGUAUAGGUGUGAGGUGUUUUCAUGCAUUAAUCUAAAUUUGUUGUUUGUGUGUGUGCACCAAUUUGUUCAGGUCAACCGCUAUAUAGAGUGGCAUCUUGUUGUACUGGUUUUAUGGGCCUUGGCUAAUGCUGGUAAGAUUUCAGAGGCUUAAGAGUUGCUCAAGGGUUUGAAGUCCAGGUGAGAAUCUUGCCACUCUAAACCACACCUUAUUUGAUUUUAGAAAAUUGAUCUAAAUGGUAUACGAACUUUUGCUUCUUAUAAACUUUAGUAUCUCAAGUUUCAAAAAUAUCAUAAAGGUAUAUGAAGUUUUAACCUCGACUAAACUUUAGUACCUAGCGCCGUUAGAUCUGUUACGUCAUCUGCCAGCUGGCAUUGCAUAAUGUAAAAAUGCUAAUUUACCCUCUCUCUUUUUCCUUCUCUUUCUUCCUCAGAUAAUACAAAAUGAUUAUUUUUUUUUCUUAAAAAAAAAAAAGCAGAACCUCAGACCUUGGAGUUAGCUAGCUGACCGUCAAGGGCCAUGCCCUCCGUGACCGAUGCCAGCUUCUGUAGAUUCAACCCGAUGAAAUAGAAAUUGGGGCAUCAGUUCCGCGGGCAAACAACUCUUUAGGAGCUGCGGCGGCGGUGGAGGCGGUGGCGGAGUGGAAGAGUGAGAAUGAAGACGCCAUUGUUGAUGAUGGUGGUGGUGCCGAAUCAAAAAUCCGCCGAAAUAGACUUUCCUUUUUCUGCUCACCCAAUAUCCCAGUACGCCGACACCUUUUUCAACAAACCCACUACCUCUUCUCAUCUUAAUCAUCAAUCCCACAUGGUUCCUCCCUGCUCAGACACAGAGCAAUAGGCAAAAAGGAAGCAAAGCAAAAAAAANAAANNNNNNNNNNNNNNNNNNNNAUAUAGAGAGAGACCCAGAAUCCUUGAUAAUUGAAGGCGCUUGGUAUCAAUGGUGGUAAUGAGGCACAAAAAUAGAGCAGAAAUGGUUAUUAAGAAAAAAAUUAAAAACUAAAAUAAAGCUGAAAAUACGGAUGUGCUCAUAAAAAAUUGACAGGUAACAGACGAUAUAACAGAGAUAACGGCAUUAGUACUAAAGUUUAGUCGAGGUCAGAACUUCAUAUACUUUUCUGAUAUUUUCGAAAUUUGAGAUACUAAAAUUUAUAAAGAGUAAAAGUUUGUAUACCGUUUGGAUCAAUUUCUCUUGAUUUUAUGUGAAUGCUUAUUAAUAAUAUUCCUUCUGUAGAGUGUUUUUAUGAACAAUAGAGUUAUGCUAUUACUUUUACCCUGAACUUCUUCCCCAUAACUAUCAAGAAAGAAAGAGUUAUUCAUUGAUCCAGUGGUUUGGGGAUUUACGUUCAGUCUUUCCACUUUACAACGUAUUCUACAUUCAACAAAUUUUAUUGUGGUUUCCUAUUGAAGUUGUAUGUUUGUUUAACCGUAUCUUUGUUAACAGCUUGCAGAGGCCUUGUAAGAGUAUGGGAGGAGUAACGAAAAACAUGCAAUGGAUCAAUUGUUAGGUCCUAAUUUUGAUGCUGAUAACUGUAUGACAAUUGGAGCAUCUGGUGAACAUCUGGACGUAUUCAAUAUAUGAAGUUUAGUACUGUAUGUUCCUUAACAAUGGACAAGCUACAAAAGGUAUGAUACAAGUCAUCCUCCCAGCAUCAAACUUCCUAGAGAUUUUCUUCUGACUUUGUCUAAUUUUAGCAAUUGAGGUGAUUUAGAAGUAGAUCAAAGCAAGAGACGGGGUCCCUUUCCUUUGGCGCCUCCUGGUAUAUAUCUUAAUGAUCUUUUAGAUUUAUAACUACAAAUUGCAUAUGAGCAAUUGAAGUGCUUUCCGCUAGAAAACAAUAAUGCAUAUAAAGAGGAGAGCCUAUUCCAUGCACGACUCGUGCAGCUGCAUCAGGACGCCGGAUUACGAAUGGCCUUUUUUCUUUUCCUUUCUCAUCUCUCAUCUCCCUUGAUUACGAAUCCGGAUCCUCUUCUCAUAUCUCCUCAUAAAUUAAUCUCAGCCUUUUAUUUUCAACCAGUUAACAUUAAACCCUAUUUCACAUCUACCCAAACUUAUCUCUCUCUCUUCUCCUCAAAAUAUCAUAUCGGGCUGUUAAAAACCAAACAACGCUCUCUCUCUCUCUCUCUCUCUCNCUUCCUCGUCGCAUCACUCUGCCNCCUCCNCCGGCGACGCCUCCACGUCCUCCGGUUACGCUGGCACGUCCUCUCUCUCUCUCUCUCUCUCCACGACGUCCUCCACCAUAUCCCAAGCUUCAAACUUUUCACUACUGGGUUUGAGGUUCGAUCUCCACCUUGGGUUUUAGUUUGGCUUGUUUUUCUUCCAUUUGAAUUAUGGUUUAUGUGAUUUCUGCUACUGGGUUUUCUUCCAUUUGAAUUCUAGGGAUUGAAGUUGGAUUGUUUCUGGUGCACUGUAAAUUGGAUUGGCUGCUGGUUUCUCUGUGGUAACGUCUUCUGAUCAAUCUUGUGGAGAAAUGCAUUCCUUGUGGUAAUGCAUGUAUAACCCCAAGCCCUCCUGUUAUAUAGUCUUGUUGGCAAGACAUUGCUUGUAGUCAUAUGUCUGUGUAAUAAUCUUGUUGGCAAGGUCCAGGUACUUCUGAAUAACCCCAAGACUAUAUAACAGGAGGGCUUGAGACAAUGGUGAAUUGAACACUAUCUACGUAGCACCUUCCAUCUUUUCAAACACUUUUGCUAAACCAAAAGGACUCCUGUUUUGAGAGCACUUGCACACCCAUUGUCCUUUGGCUGCUAAGGACUGAUACAUUGAACAACCAGUUCAUAUUCAAUUCACCAUUGUCUGUUUUUGGCUUUACCUUCUUGGAUUACACAAUAAUUCUUAUGAUACUAAUUUCUGUAUAAGUUUAAUAAUCUCUAUGCUGCAUCUUUUUUAAUCAAAAUGCAGGGAGUUGCCAUGGCCGAUGCUCUGCGUCAGGUUUCUGCGUAUUGCAUUGAACUUAGAUUCCUAGAAUCCCUUAACUAAGAGAUUCUUUUUCUUUUCUUUUUUUUUUUGGGUAUAAUUUGAUCAUAUCCUAUCAAUUCUGAAACAAAGCAGGGCAAGUAUAAAGCCAUUGCAGUUUGUUGGGUUCUUGGACUAGGGACUCUAUUUCGUGGAACAGUAUAGUACGUGACUAUAGCAGAUUACUAUUAUAAUCUUUUUCCGGUGAGCACAUUCAUCAUGUUGUGUUCUUUAUGGAACUGAGUCACAACUUACUAGACCGUUCUGUUUUUGUUUGAGAUCUAAAAAGAACAUUGUAUAGAUUUAUAUAUUACAAGAACAUAAUGAUUAUCAUUUUCCUAUUGCAGGAAUACCAUCCUUCGAGGGUUCUAACCUGUGUUUAUCAACCAUUUUCAUACAAAGAGGCAGAAACAUAUACAAACUUUCUUUAGUCCCAUGAAUCAGUUUUGGUAGAGGACAUACUCAGAAUUUUAGUACUUACCAGCUUCUCAAACUUCCAUGCAUGCAGGUCAAAAAUGAUGCUAACCGACCAGAUAGAUUGAGGAACAAGCAAUUAUUUAUGCAAAAUAUAGAUUAUUCUCUCGACUUGUUUCUCAUAUAGAUUAUUCUCUCGACCGAAGUGUCCUUGAAAGAUGUAUGGAUGAACAAAGGACACUCUAUGAUUUUCGGCAAACAUAACAAAUCAAAGGUAAGCAAAUGUCAUGAUUACUAAACUUUUGGUAAUGUAACUUUAACUUUGGAUGGAAGCUUUCAUUUGUUAUAAUAUUUUGUUCGUGUUUUAUGAGAGGUAUUAUGAUAAAAUUCUAAAAUUGAUAUUUAAACGGACAGACUAACGAAUUGGGAAUUUGUUAACGGCUGUAUACUAAUAUGGAUUGAGCUAUUAAUGAUCUGAUGGGUAACGAGAUGACUCCAGAUCAAAAAAAUUAUUCUACUAAACGGAUCCGAUUGAUUUAGGUCCAUACACUCCGAAUAUAGUCCAUUUACAGGUAUAGCUGAGACCCCGGCCCAUCCAUCCUUUUAGUUGAUCUUUUGGUGAUGUAACACGAAAAUGAAUGAAUUCCUGCCUUGCGGAUCCAAUUAAUAUAUUCAUGACUUCAGGAAUCUUUGUGUAGAUGAACCUUUCCUGUCUUGGUUGGUAAAGAAUAUAAUAAUUAAUAGAAAACUUUUCUUCUUUGCUUCCUUUGUGGUUUUGGUGUUCGAACCAAACAGUGCUAUAAGUACGUACUUUCCACAUCUAAUUAGUUCUUAUCAUUUGGAUUCGUAAACCAUGCAGAAGAAGUCUUGAACUGCUGGUAAGUUUUUGUGAUUAGUCAUUUAUAUAUGUUUUUGUGAUUAAUCAUUUAUUCAUAUGAUAGCUAGGCUUGAUUCUUGACAUAUUAUGCUUUUUUGUAAAUUAAUUUUAUCGCAUAUAUUGAAAUGUUAAGGGAAAAUUUCAUUAUAUAUCUGUAUAUAUUAAGCGAAGCGGGGGGCAUUACUGUUCACAGAACAGUGUCCUCGCCCCUUAAGAUGGAGCCAUGUACAGCUACAAUCGAAGGCCCAAAACCCACCACGUAUAUGUCAACUUUACGUUUGUAUUCCCCGGUUUCUCACUUCCAGCUUUCCACCAUCUCUCUUUUUCUCAAUUCUACCCGAACAACUCAAGAAAAGUUUGGGCUAUUGCAAAAGUUCCUCUCUCUGCAAAAGUUCUUCGUUCUGCAAAAGUUCUUCUCUCUGGAAAACUCAUUCAGUUGGUGUGUUGGACUUUUGGUUUUCUCCUUCAUCUCUCUGUAAAAGUUCUUCUCCGGCCAUAUCCAUAUUUGGUUUUUGGUGUAGUCUCAGUUUAGCUUUGGGAUAUAACCACGCACGCGCGAAACGUGGGUUUCAAAGCUAGUAUACUUAACUAGAACCUCGAUCUAUCGCAUACGUGAUUAGUCAUUUAUAUAUGUUAAUACUUAACUAGUCGUAUGCUCGUAUGUUCUGAAUCCCAUGCAAGGCCAUGUGUGUAUAUUUUCUUAUUUUUCUUCUUUCAUUUAUACUAGCAUCUUGACCCGUAUUAUGUGCGUGUGUGAAUUUUUUAUUUUUUUGUUUUUACUAUUACAAUUAUGUUUAAAGUCUUAUUUCCCUCUACUUUUCUCUCCCCCUCCCACAUUUUAAGUUUCUUUCUUUCUGUUUUUUUUUUCUUGUUUCCAACAUUUGUAAUUAUUAAUUUAUCCUUCAUCUGUUAGAAGACAUAUUUUAAAGUUUUAAUCAAUCAAAGACAUUAUAGGUAGUUCAAAAAUUUAACCGUUGACAAAGUCAAAAAAGCCUUCUGGCUUCUGGCUUUAUUAAUAGAGAUUUGAACUUUUUUAACACAAUAAACAUUUGGUUCAGUUGAGCUCACUGUAAAUUUUAAAAACAAUUGAUGAAGAAAUUUUUGGCCAAAUCAUCUCGAAUGGUGUUGAUCGAUGAUGAAAUGAAUGCAUGCAGUGUCAGUAUUGUCAUAGUCAAGAGCGAUAUGAGCGACAACAAUGGAUCUACUUCUACUCCUCGAGAUGACACAGAAAAGGCGUCUACUCCAUUAGAAAUUUUGAUAGGAGAGAGGCUAGAACAGUUGGCUCCCCUAUCUGCUUCAUGUUCUAUUUACAGAGUUCCAGAGAGGUUAAGGAGUCUAAAUCCAAGUGUCUACACACCCAAACUAGUUUCAAUUGGCCCAUUACACCAUGGCAAUGAAACCUUACAAGACAUGGAGGAGCACAAAUACAGGUACCUACAACAAUUUCUAGAUCGCACCAAUGAAAACUUGGAGUACUAUUUACGAAAAAUAAGGUACCAAGAAGCAACAUUGCGUAGUUAUUAUGCAGAAACUAUUAAGUUUAGCAGUGAUGACUUGGUAACUAUCAUCCUUGUGGACUCUGCAUUCAUCAUUGAGCUCUUUUUGAACUACUAUUUCAAAGAAGCUUAUAGCACAGACAGGAUAAUGAGAGCACCAUAUAUGAUAAUUGACGUAAGAGCUGAUCUGCUUUUGCUUGAAAAUCAACUCCCAUUUUUCAUUCUUGAGGAUAUUUUUCCAGAAAAAGUUCAUAGAAAUUCCCGUACGCAGAAUUCUCAGAGUGAGAGGCUUUCAUUUAUUCAACUCUGCCGAACUUUCUUUAAACAAGAAUUAGAGGCAGUUGGAGUGGACUGCAAUUUGGAGAGGGUAAAUUCUUCUGAAGUAAAAGGAGCACAUUUUCUUGAUAUUAUAAGAAAUUUAUGUCUACCACCAGAACCUCUAGUUCGAGGCACACGCAACGCUGCCACCCCUAUUGCACCAAGCAUCACACAACUACACCAAGCUGGAGUCAAGUUAGAAGUGGGAUCAACCAGAAACUUAUUUGGCACACGAUUUGAUAAUGGAAUUCUGCAAAUUCCAAAAUUGCAAAUGUCUCAUCGUAUGGUGGAUACAAUGAGAAAUAUUGCUGUGUUUGAACAAUGUCAUCACUUGAAUUGCAGGAUAGCUGAUUUCCUUGACCUCAUGUAUUGUUUUGUGGACACCGCGAAGGAUGUGGAGUUGCUUGCCGAGUAUGGAAUUGUUAAAAAUUUGAUAGGUGACAACAGUGAGGCGUGUUCUCUGAUUAAAAACCUUAUCAAGGAGAUUCAUGUGAAUUCCAAUGACUUCUGCUUCACUCCUCUUUAUGAAGAUCUACACAAGCACUGCAAAAAGCCAUGGAACAAAUGGAAGGCAAAUUUGAAGCAAAAUUAUCUGUACACGCCAUGGGCACUUGUUUCUGUUCUCAUCAUACUCACUAUCAUACAAACGGUGUGUUCUGUCAUCUCUCUUUGAGAGAGUCUCAACAAUAUAUAAGUACUACCUCAAAGUGUGUAAUUGAGUGGUCUUCCAUAAGUUAUGUAUUUUCCAGUGCGAGAUGUGAAUGAAAUAAAAGUUGGUAUGCCGCAGAUCGCGUGCUAGAUUUCUUAAUCUUUCUUACUUAAUUAUAAGUUAAUUGGUUAAAAGUUCAUAAUUUCCGUUUUGUUAACUGUUUGUAUGUUUGGCUUGUAGAUACUGAGGAAGCACAUGAAAGUUUUGGUUGCAAUGUCUACAAUGACAGAUGAUAAUUAAAAAUAGAAAUUCUCCAUGGCCAAUUUUGUUUCGUUUUUGGAAAAUAAUUCGAGGAACUGCAUGAUUGAUGCAUAACUGCAUAUAAGAACCUACGUGCAUCUAUCAUUUUGCUAUCAGCCUAGCUACGUACAUCUUUGUGCUCGAAAAAUAUGGACUUCGAGUGUAACUUCAUGCUGCUGCUGAAUCAGCUCGAGCACAAUAGCAUCCCUUGCUUGCAAAUCAUUAUCUCUUGCAAAUUUUGUCCAACUGCCAUGGAUUCUUGCAUAGUCGUUUUCCCCGCACCGGCUGACGAUGCAUUUAGCACACCAAGUUCCCCCAUUUGGAAUUUGUAGGUUUACACUGCAACCUUGAAAGAUGUAUUGAUGAACAAAUAACCUCUUGGAUUUUGGGCAAACAUAACAUAUUAAAGAUAAACAAAUGUGAAGAUUACUAAAGUUUUGGUCAUGUAACUUCAACUUGCGAUGGAAAUCUUCAUUUGUUAUUAAUAUUUUGUUACUGUUUUAUGAGAGGUGAUAAAUUCAACUUUAGGAAUCUGUUAAUCGGCCGUUUACGAAUAUGAAUUAAGCUAUUAAUGAUUCGACGGGUAACGGUGACGAGAUCAGAGAAAAAAAUUUAUGUUAAACGGAUCCGUAUUUGGGUCGAUCUGCUCCAAAUCCAGUCAAUUUACAAGUCUUGCCCCGUCCCAUCCAUCCUUUUUGAUUUAUCUAUUGGUGAUGCAUGUAACACGAAAAUGAAUGAAUUCCUGCCUUGUGGAUCUCAUAUAUAACUUCAGGAAUCUGUGUAGAUGAACCUUUCUUGUCUUGGUAUAAAAAUUGAAAACUUUGCUUCUUUGCUUCCUUUGUGGUUUUGGUAUAUAUUCGAACCAUACCGUGCUAUAUAAGUACAUUCCACUUCUAAGUUCUAAUCAUUUGGAUUCGUGAACCACGCAAAGAGAGAUCCACCCUAUCAUUGCAUCAAUUAUUAAUGUGUACUAAUAUUCAGCAAAAAAAAAAAAAAAAAAAUUAACAUAAUAACUUCAACCAAAACCAAAUAUACAUAAUAAUAUCCUCACCUGUGCAGGCUUCUUUUUGCUUUUGCUUAAUGCAACUUCCAUGAUGGGUAGAUUCUCUCUUUUUGAAUCCCUUUGCAUUAGAGCAAUCAGCCAAUAUGCUCUGGUCUUGAUCUUCCACAUCUUUAUCACCACUUAUUUCUAGACGUAACACAUCUUCAACACUCUUUGCUAACUUAUCAGCUUCCAUUUAUGCAAGCUCAUAUGCCUUCUCACUCUCAGAUGCUCUUGAUGCUACUCGAACAAAUUUAGAACAUAAACUUCUAUAUCGGGAAGUUUGUUUCAGUCUUGGAUUCUCUACAAUCUGGUGCCCAUGCAUGUCUUUCACAACAUUAUCAACUCUUGCACUUUUGGUCCACCUCUCUAAGACAUAUUGCUAAGGUAUCUUUUUAAUUAGUGUAGUUUCUCUGCCUUCUAUCAUGACUUUGAUACAAUGCCUACAUGCCUACACAAGACACCCUCCAUCUCAAACAUUCUACAGCUGCAAGCUACAGUAAACUCACCUUCUCUUUUCACUAGCCGCUCUUUAGUGAAUGCAUCUCUAACAACAGUGAAGAUAAACUUUUCACCAUUGGACACACACUUCGUUAUGGAAGACUUUAAAGAGUCUUCAAACUGAGCUUGAGAUAUUUUAUAGAUCGCUUUGGUAUAAACUUCUUGUGCAUGUAUCAAGAUGCUUACCUCCAUUUUGCAGUGAACAAUUCGGAACAUCAGAUCAUACUCGGCUUCCAAUUCCUUAUACCGCUUAUCAUAUACCAUUCUUUCAAAGUGAGUAAAAAACUCAGGUAGCUGGAGGUCUGAUUUUAAAUAACCCUUCAAACUAGCAUUGAAGCUUUCACUCAGUUGUGUAUUGUGCAUUCCUGCUGACCAUGUACACUUCACAUAUGCAUGUACCUAUUUUUUUCUUAUUGCAAAUGUUGCAGCCAACCAAGUAUCAUCAUGUGCACUGUACUCAUCAAGCAUAAACUCUCAAGCACUCAAGAACUCAUUUUCUUCCUCAAUCUGAUAAAGAAAUUUGUUGAAUACAUUACCUUCCUUCUCAUCGCCAUUAGAGUUUCUAAAUAAGAAGCCUACUUUCUUUGCAGCAUUUUGCAAUAAAUGCCAUAUACAAAGUCGAUGGUACAUAUCAGGCAUCACAUGUAAAACAGCCUUGGCUAUCGUUGCAUCUUGAUCAGUAAAAGAUGUUUGGGGAGGCUUCCCACAUAUUGCCUUCAAAAAGGUUUCAAACAACCAAAUAAAGGAUGCAGCAGUCUUGUCGUACAUUAGAGCAGCUCCAAAUAUAACCGCUUCUCUGUGGUGAUUUAAUCCAACAAAGACUGCAAAUGGUCGAUUUGCUUCAUUAAGUUUGUAUGUGGUAUCAAAACUUACCACAUCUCCAAAUAUACCAUAAUCCAUUAUCAUUUUAGCAUUGGCCCAAAAAUGUUAGUGAUUUGGUCCUCACUGUCCAAUUGCAUCCCAUAAAAGAAUGAUGGAUUUUCUAACAUCUGCUUUGAAAAAUAUUCCAUCAAAUAACCAGCUUCUCCUAAUUUCAUUUUUCUUUGUCGGACAGUUCGAAGAUAGUUCUUUUGGUUUUGCCUUGUAAAACCCAAUGACUCUCUUCCACCAGCUUGCUGGCUCAUUAAUUCAAAUGCAGACUUUUGCGGUACUCCUGAAUUUGUAGUCAAGUCUAUAAAAGCAUUAUCUGUAGAUGUUACAUUUCGAUAAGAUGGUAACCAUUGCACACAGUCUUAUAUGACAAGAGGAUGAUUAUGCUCUUCAGAGAAACGGUAAACGCAAUACUUUCCUGUAUGCCUAACCAACUUAAUCCCAGGGCUGGCCCUGGGGCAAGACGGACCAGGCCUGGGUCUAAGGCCUCAAAAUUUGGGGGCCUCAAAUUUUUUUUAUAUAGGUAUGUACAAAAAAAAAAAAAAAAAAGUUAGAAUAAGAGUAGAAGACCUGGCGUCUCUUACUCUUUCUUUUCAGUUCUGCACACGUCCAAAUCAAUAUAGAAGAAGAAGAUCGCGACUCUUCAGUCUUCAGUACAAAAAAAAGAAGAAAAAGAUCGCUCUCCGAAGAAAUCAAAGAAAAAAGAAGACAAACCUCCAAAUCUUUGAUUGAAAGGAAUCAAGGAAAACAUCAAUUCUGAAGCUAAAAAGGUAUAUAUGUUCUUUUACCCUUUCAUCUCUAUUCUCUAAAGCUAUUUCCUUUCUAUUUUAAAGAAAUUGCGAUUUUCCGUUAGUCCUUACUGGCUUAGUACGAUAAUCCCUUUGAAUUGUUUGUAUAUAUUUGGACGUAUGAUAUCUAGAUAUUGAAAAACACAUACUCUUUGAUUUCGUAUUGAUGUCUAGAUUUUUGUAAAACACAGUAUUUUAUCAUGGCUCCUGGUAGAAAGUUUAAGUCUGGAGCUCAAAAAAGGAAAGAGAAAAAGAGGAUAGAAGCUGUACAUAAACCUCUAGCUAGUUGGUUCUAUUAAUAAGUAUUUAGUACCAAGAGAAAAGAAUCAAAGCAUAAUGGUGAAUGAUCAUGAUGUUAAAGAGGCAGAGAUUGAGAAAAAUAAUGAUCAUGAUGUUGAAGAGGAAGAGAUUGAGGAAAAUAGUGAUCAUGAUGUUGAAGAGGCAGAGAUUGAGGAAAAUAUUGAAGAUGUUCACACUAUAGAGCCAAAUCAGUCAGUAGGGAAAAACAAUGAUAUUAUCAAUGAAGAAAGUCAUACUGCAAAUUCAAGAGAAGAAGUUCCGUUUGACAUGGAUGAUCCAGGGAAUUGGAAUAAAACAUACCAAAAUAUUACAGAAUUUUUGGUUGAAAGAGGCACCAAAAGAGUCAAUAAUGUGAUCUUUCCGAAAGAUACAUGUGAGAGGUCUUUUUCUUUAAGGCAUUACUUCAAGGAAUUACCGAAUGGAGAGAAACGUACAAGAUAGAAAGUGGCUGGUAUAUUCGGUUUCUUUGGAUAAAGUCUUUUGCUUCUGUUAUAAAUUGUUUGCAAAGAAGCAUCUUGUGGGGCAAAUAGUUGAUGAAGACAUGAAUGAUUGACACAACUGUUCUGAUCGACUUAAAAGUCAUGAAGGAAAUAGGUAUCAUAUUGCGGCAAUGAAAAGUUGGAUAGAGUUGGCCAAAAGGUUGAAAAUAAAGUUAACAAUUGAUGCAAGUCUGCAAUCAAGAAAAAGAACACUGGAAACAAGUAUUAGAAAGAAUUUUUGCAGUUGUGGAAAGAUUUGCGAAAAAAAAUUUAGCUUUUCGUGGAGAUAAUGAAAAGCUAUAUAAGGAGAAUAAUGGUCUUUUCUUAUAGAUGAUAGAACUGCUUGCUGAAGUUGAUCCGAGUAUAAAAAAAACAUCUUGGACGUAUUAAUAAAGGUGAGGCUCAAUAUCAUUAUUUGAGUCACAAAAAUGAAAUUAUUCAAUUGUUGGCAGGUGAGGUGAAAAGCUCAAUUAUCAGCAGAAUCAAAGAAGCCAAAUAUUUUUCAGUUAUUCUUGACUGUACUCUAGAUGCAAGUAAUGAGGAACAUAUGUCUCUUGUAAUAAGAAUUGUCAAUGUUUCGGCUACUCCAGUUGUGGUUGAAGAAUAUUUUUUAGGUUUGUUGAAGGUAGCUAACACAUCAGGUCUUGGACUACUUAAUGAACUUCUAAGUGAAUUGAAGACUCUUGAACUUGAUGCAAGUGAUAUAAGAGGACAAGGGUAUGACAAUGGAUCCAACAUGAAAGGUAAAAAUAAAGGUGUGCAAAGUAGACUACUUGAAAUAAAUCCAAGAGCAUUUUACACACCUUGUGCUUGUCAUUCUCUAAACCUUGUGCUUUCUGAUAUGGCUCAUUAUUGUCCCAUAGCUGAGUCUUUCUUUGGUGUAGUGCAACGAUUAUACUGUUUGUUUGCAGCUUCUACAAAAAGAUGGCAGGUUUUUAAAGAGCAUGUGACAGUUCUCACUUUAAAACCAUUAUCAGAAACUUGUUGGAAAAGCCGUGUGGAGAGUAUUAAAGCAAUAAGGUAUCAAACUCCAGAAAUAAGACAAGCUUUGAUGCAUAUUGUGAACAACAAAAAAGAAGAUGCCAAGGCAAAAAGUGAUGCUGAUGCUGAUGCUUUAGCAAAAUAUAAUCUUCAGAAUUUUGAGUUCUUGUUGGGAAUGUUUAUAUGGUAUGAGUUGUUAUAUGCGGUUAACAAUGUCAGCAAAGUUCUGCAAACUGAAGAUACGCAUAUUGAUAUAGCCAUCAAAGAAUUGGAACGUCUUCUUUCUUUGCUUCAAAAGUUCAGAGAAACUGGGUUUGAGGAGUCUUUGAUUGAAGCUAAAAAGAUUGCAAGUGAGAUGGAGAUUGAACCGAUAUUCAUGGAAAAACAGACAAUUCACACAAAAAGACAAUUUGAUGAAAGCUCUACUGAAGCAGUGAUACAAUCAGCUACAGAAUCAUUCAAAACCAACUACUUUCUCUACAUAGUUGAUCAAGCUAUUUCUUCAUUCAAAACCAGGUUAGAACUAUAUACAUUAUAUUUAAUUUUUAGUUAAGGAGCAUGAUAUUUAUAUAAGUUAUUGAUUUUUAUUUUUUUUUAAACCAGGUUUGAACAAUUUAAGAAAUAUGAAGAAAAUUUUGGACUUUUGUUUGAUUUGGUUAAGUUAAGGUCUGCUGAUAGAGAUACAUUGAAUAGCUUUUGUGCUAACCUCACAAAUAUAUUGAAGCAUGGCGAGAUUUCUGAUCUUAAUGAGGAUGAUUUAUUCCAUGACUUGCGAAUGUUGUAUCAAGAUUUACCCAUUGAAACAAAAAGAGCAAUAGAUGUGUUGAAUAUUAUAUAUAAAAGAUGUGGAUGGCUGCUAUCCACAUGCUUCGAUUGCUUAUAGGAUUCUGCUAACCAUACCAGUCAUAGUUGCCUCUGCAGAAAGAAGUUUUUCAAAGUUGAAAUUGAUCAAAACUUACCUUCGGUCUACUAUGUCACAAGAAAGAUUGAGUGGUUUGGCUAUGAUAUCUAUAGAAAAAGACAUAGUUGAAAAACUUGAUUAUGCAAAUUUGAUUAGUACCUUUGCAUCUAAAAAUGAAAGACGAGCUAUAUUUCAGUAAUAGUUUUAUAUUGUGGUAUGAUUUUUUGUAAUAUUUUGAGUUUUAUUUUAUUUUAUAUUUUUUUUGGGGGCCUCAAAUAUAUUCUCACCUUGGGCCUUUAUGGACAUAGGGUCGGCCCUAUUUAAUCCCCAUAAUCGCUCCACAUUCUUGUCUGUGCUCUUGGAUUUUUUGUCAAAUCGUCUCUCUUAUCUUCUUUUCGAAAACCUUCCUUACAACAUACAAAAGUCCUUGAAGUGAGUACACUUUUUUUAUCCUUGCCAUAACCGUCUCUUCUAAUGCUAAAGCCUUCACUGCGAGCAUAUGCAUUAUAAAAGUUGAAUGCAGCAAUCUUAGAAUCAAACUCCAUAUAAUAUUUAGGUUUCAAAUCUUUUUUUGAUUUCUCCAAACUAUUGUUGUUUUCUCCCACAGACUUUUCCACUCUUAAAACCUAUAUUCAACAAUCACAAGAACAUACACAAAAGUGAGAUUCAAUCUCAAAAUUAUAAUUCAAAUAGAAUAAACACAAGCCAACAGCCAAUCCAAUUUACAGUGCACCAGAAACAAUCCAACUUCAAUCCUUAGAAUUCAAAUGGAAGAAAACCCAGUAGCAGAAAUCACAUAAACCAUAAUUCAAAUGGAAGAAAAACAAGCCAAACUAAAACCCAAGUUGGAGAUCGAACCUCAAACCCAGUAGUGAAAAGUUGGAAGCUUGGGAUAUGGUGGAGGACGUCGUGGAGAGAGAGAGGACGUGGAGGACGUCGCUGGCGUAACCAGAGGACGUGGAGAACGUG
This 24752-nucleotide long non-coding RNA is filed under the name Fragaria vesca (wild strawberry). RNAcentral describes it as "long non-coding RNA (FVES_LNC000901)". The record is from RNAcentral. Lineage: Eukaryota; Viridiplantae; Streptophyta; Magnoliopsida; Rosales; Rosaceae.